This 501-nucleotide ribosomal RNA is filed under the name uncultured bacterium. Its description in RNAcentral is "bacterial SSU rRNA". It matches the Rfam family "Bacterial small subunit ribosomal RNA", at positions 18 to 518 of the family's 1533-position model. The record is from RNAcentral.
UCUGGCUCAGGAUGAACGCUGGCGGCGUGCCUAACACAUGCAAGUCGAACGGGGCAUCAGCGCUGACGAGACUUCGGUCAAAUCUGUUGAUGCUAGUGGCGGACGGGUGAGUAACGCGUGGGCAACCUGCCUCACACUGGGGGAUAGCAGCUGGAAACGGCUGGUAAUACCGCAUAAGCGCACAGUACCGCAUGGUACAGUGUGAAAAACUCCGGUGGUGUGAGAUGGGCCCGCGUCCGAUUAGCCAGUUGGCGGGGUAACGGCCCACCAAAGCGACGAUCGGUAGCCGGCCUGAGAGGGCGGACGGCCACAUUGGGACUGAGACACGGCCCAGACUCCUACGGGAGGCAGCAGUGGGGGAUAUUGCACAAUGGGGGAAACCCUGAUGCCAGCGACGCCGCGUGGGUGAAGAAGUAUUUCGGUAUGUAAAGCCCUAUCAGCAGGGACGAUAAUGACGGUACCUGAGUAAGAAGCCCCGGCUAACUACGUGCCAGCCGCAGC